RNAcentral lists this ribosomal RNA (468 nucleotides) under uncultured bacterium. Its description in RNAcentral is "partial 16S ribosomal RNA". It matches the Rfam family "Bacterial small subunit ribosomal RNA", at positions 28 to 507 of the family's 1533-position model. The record is from RNAcentral.
GACGAACGCUGGCGGCGUGCUUAACACAUGCAAGUCGAACGGAAAGGCCCUGCUUUUGUGGGGUGCUCGAGUGGCGAACGGGUGAGUAACACGUGAGUAACCUGCCCUUGACUUUGGGAUAACUUCAGGAAACUGGGGCUAAUACCGGAUAGGAGCUCCUGCUGCAUGGUGGGGGUUGAAAAGUUUCGGCGGUUGGGGAUGGACUCGCGGCUUAUCAGCUUGUUGGUGGGGUAGUGGCUUACCAAGGCUUUGACGGGUAGCCGGCCUGAGAGGGUGACCGGCCACAUUGGGACUGAGAUACGGCCCAGACUCCUACGGGAGGCAGCAGUGGGGAAUAUUGCACAAUGGGCGGAAGCCUGAGGCAGCAACGCCGCGUGCGGGAUGACGGCCUUCGGGUUGUAAACCGCUUUCGCCUGUGACGAAGCGUGAGUGACGGUAAUGGGUAAAGAAGCACCGGCUAACUACGUG